Molecule: ribosomal RNA, 1507 nt
Filed under: Bacillus cereus
Lineage: Bacteria; Bacillati; Bacillota; Bacilli; Caryophanales; Bacillaceae
Description: partial 23S ribosomal RNA
Rfam family: Bacterial large subunit ribosomal RNA
Source: RNAcentral
GGUUAAGUUAGAAAGGGCGCACGGUGGAUGCCUUGACACUAGGAGUCGAUGAAGGACGGGACUAACGCCGAUAUGCUUCGGGGAGCUGUAAGUAAGCUUUGAUCCGAAGAUUUCCGAAUGGGGAAACCCACUAUACGUAAUGGUAUGGUAUCCUUACCUGAAUACAUAGGGUAUGGAAGACAGACCCAGGGAACUGAAACAUCUAAGUACCUGGAGGAAGAGAAAGCAAAUGCGAUUUCCUGAGUAGCGGCGAGCGAAACGGAAUCUAGCCCAAACCAAGAGGCUUGCCUCUUGGGGUUGUAGGACAUUCUAUACGGAGUUACAAAGGAACGAGGUAGACGAAGCGACCUGGAAAGGUCCGUCACAGAGGGUAAUAACCCCGUAGUCGAAACUUCGUUCUCUCUUGAAUGUAUCCUGAGUACGGCGGAACACGUGAAAUUCCGUCGGAAUCUGGGAGGACCAUCUCCCAAGGCUAAAUACUCCCUAGUGAUCGAUAGUGAACCAGUACCGUGAGGGAAAGGUGAAAAGCACCCCGGAAGGGGAGUGAAAGAGAUCCUGAAACCGUGUGCCUACAAAUAGUCAGAGCCCGUUAAUGGGUGAUGGCGUGCCUUUUGUAGAAUGAACCGGCGAGUUACGAUCCCGUGCGAGGUUAAGCUGAAGAGGCGGAGCCGCAGCGAAAGCGAGUCUGAAUAGGGCGUUUAGUACGUGGUCGUAGACCCGAAACCAGGUGAUCUACCCAUGUCCAGGGUGAAGUUCAGGUAACACUGAAUGGAGGCCCGAACCCACGCACGUUGAAAAGUGCGGGGAUGAGGUGUGGGUAGCGGAGAAAUUCCAAUCGAACCUGGAGAUAGCUGGUUCUCCCCGAAAUAGCUUUAGGGCUAGCCUUAAGUGUAAGAGUCUUGGAGGUAGAGCACUGAUUGAACUAGGGGUCCUCAUCGGAUUACCGAAUUCAGUCAAACUCCGAAUGCCAAUGACUUAUCCUUAGGAGUCAGACUGCGAGUGAUAAGAUCCGUAGUCAAGAGGGAAACAGCCCAGAUCGCCAGCUAAGGUCCCAAAGUGUGUAUUAAGUGGAAAAGGAUGUGGAGUUGCUUAGACAACUAGGAUGUUGGCUCAGAAGCAGCCACCAUUUAAAGAGUGCGUAAUAGCUCACUAGUCGAGUGACUCUGCGCCGAAAAUGUACCGGGGCUAAAUACACCACCGAAGCUGCGAAUUGAUACCAAUGGUAUCAGUGGUAGGGGAGCGUUCUAAGUGCAGUGAAGUCAGACCGGAAGGACUGGUGGAGCGCUUAGAAGUGAGAAUGCCGGUAUGAGUAGCGAAAGACGGGUGAGAAUCCCGUCCACCGAAUGCCUAAGGUUUCCUGAGGAAGGCUCGUCCGCUCAGGGUUAGUCAGGACCUAAGCCGAGGCCGACAGGCGUAGGCGAUGGACAACAGGUUGAUAUUCCUGUACCACCUCUUUAUCGUUUGAGCAAUGGAGGGACGCAGAAGGAUAGAAGAAGCGUGCGAUUGG